UAAAUACUGAGUCCAAAUCCGAUGGGCAAUCGGGCAUCAGAAUUCAUCGAUAUGUAAUCCUGAUCGAAAAGUUUCAACCAGUGGGACUCUUGAUCCCGGUACCCAUAAUGUGUGGAACUCAUGAUUAGAGAAUCCUGAUUCUCGAUCACUGAGUUUCAAACAUGUAGGAUUCUACACCAGCCAUCAGAUCAGAUAGGAACCUCUAAUGUGUGUGACCCCAUAGGUUCGAACCUAAGCCGGUAGCACAGGAACCAAUUCUUGUACUAAUCGAAGUAACCAUCUAGCAGUGGUACCCGACAUCUGGAUAGGUUGAAUAGUCGCAAUCGCAACACUCAGAACCUACAUGAAUAUGGUUACUGUAUAAUUCAUCCUUUUGACCCUUGUGUUUAGGACGACUCAGGGUUAAACUGUCAACCCUGAUCAGAUCAUCCGAAUCGUGCUCAACUCAAACAGUCUUGUGACUCCUCACAAGGAUUACCCUAGCCAAAGUUUUGCUAAAUUAAAAUACGAUUGUACACAGCUCCUAAACUGGAGUGGUCAAUCCUAUCUUGACAUACGCACCGACAAGUCAAGUACUUGACUACACCCAUAGCCUUCCAUCAUUGAAUUAGAAAUUCAGGUAGUCCAGUGCCUAAGUGCAGUGAGUUGCUUGUAAGUCACCGUGGCGGUCUC
This 672-nucleotide long non-coding RNA is filed under the name Elaeis guineensis (African oil palm). RNAcentral describes it as "long non-coding RNA (EGUI_LNC073507)". Lineage: Eukaryota; Viridiplantae; Streptophyta; Magnoliopsida; Arecales; Arecaceae. The record is from RNAcentral.